This 173-nucleotide non-coding RNA is filed under the name Clostridium sp. Maddingley MBC34-26. Lineage: Bacteria; Bacillati; Bacillota; Clostridia; Eubacteriales; Clostridiaceae. The record is from RNAcentral.
UCCGUCGUGAGGUGGAAUCUGAAGGAAGCCAAAAGCAAAACCUUGGUCUGAGGUACACGAAUCACAUAUGAGGCUCAAAGCUAUGGGCAAACUUGCUAGACAAAGUAAAGCCCCAUAACUAUCCGAAAUGGCUAGAGUAAAUGUGGCAGAUAGAUGAGGUGAAAGUGCGUGCU